GGUAAUUUCUGACAAGACCCGACUGGCAACACUGCAAAUAAUCACUAGUGGUCAUACGCCAACGUCACUCGCCCGAAGCCAUAAAAAAGAAAACAAAAACUUCCGGUUCCGGAAGAAAAAACAGCCAAGUGUUUUGCACUUUUGCAGCAUACUCUCUCUCUAAUCUGUUUUGCAGUGCACAAAAUCAGUGGUAAAACGUAGAACCUACAAGUUUUUUUGUUUUGCACGGUGUUUUAUUUAAUAAACGCUUCUGUUGUGCGAAUUGGACGCGUGACGUGCUGAAGAUUAAAGACUUUGCAUAAUGGAAUCAAAAAAAUUUUUUUUGGUUACAUUUUUAGAUGAAGAUGAUGCUCCUGGCAUAGUUUCAUCAAAGUGGUUAAGAUACCAACACUUGUUAUUACCCUAAUGUAUGCACUGAAGAAAUCAAAAACAAACUUGAAGAAGAUGCCUGCACCUGAAGCAACAUGGUCACAAUAUCAAAUAAAAAUACUUAAAAGUUAUGAAACUUAUGGCGAAGCACGAUUACAUUUAAAAAAAGCGGAAGAAACCUGAAAUUUGGACUCAGACGAAGCAGAAAAUGAUGUUACAAAUGAAGUGACAGUGGACAUAAUGUCUGCUGUAAAUUACCCAGUCACCUCCGGUUCUAAAGAGGCCAAGCAAACACAACUCAAAGCUGUUAACUGCCAAUCAGAGUGCAUUACAAACAAGCAAUAUGCUAUACAGCAGAGUCAUAUGAUUCAGAUUGUGUCAGACCUAGCUAACCAAAUGGCUGAAAUCAAUAGAAAAUUGGAUUUACCGUUAGCUAGGUCCGAAGAAACAUUUUCACCAACAGAUGACAAUGCAGGUCUUUCAGAACUUUUGGCAAGUCUACCAGUAAAGAUAUUGCAAGUUUUAAUAAUUUCGAUGACCAUUUAAAAAUAAACAAGAAUACAGGCAAUAAUGUCAUUUUUGUCUGGUAUUGGCGGCAGAAAUGUAAGAAGCCUUACGACUAAUAUGUUGAGACGAAUAAUUCUAGAUGAUGUAGCUGAGUUGUAUUCGUUAACUGGGAAACAGGUGAAAAAUUCGAAUAAAAAGUCAUUUAUGAGUACAGAAACCUAUAAAUUAAUCUUUCAAAUAUGUAGAAAAAUCAACGAAGAUGUAACUGAAGACAGUCUAAAAGAAAUUAUAAGUGAUUGGCUAAAUCAAGCUAAAGUUAGACUUUCAAGAAGAGCAGAAACACAAAAUAAAGAAAAAAACCAAUAGCGGCGACCAUGAAACCGAUUUUUUCUCAUUUAAAGUAAGAUAAGAUAAAAGUAUAAAUAAUAAAAAAAUAUAUGUUA
This is a long non-coding RNA of Ostrinia nubilalis (European corn borer), 1319 nucleotides long. RefSeq lists it as uncharacterized. Lineage: Eukaryota; Metazoa; Arthropoda; Insecta; Lepidoptera; Crambidae. The record is from RefSeq and is a predicted model, not a curated record. The transcript is spliced from 7 exons.